ACAUAUUCCAGAGCCUAAUUCAUUACAUUUUAAUAAAUAUAAUUACUAUCAAAUCCUAAAAUAACAAAAUUUACAAUUUUAAAAUUGUAAAUGUAACCCAUCUCUUCUUUUAGAAGCUGCACCUUGAUUUGAUAUAAAACAAAAUUUUAUAAAAAGAAAAUUAUUAUUCUAACAAAAUAUUCAAUAUAACAACGAUAUACAAGCAACUAUAAAAGUAAAAUAAAUUGUGGACUAUCAAUUACAGGACAGGUUCCUCUGAUAGGUUGAAAUACCGCCAAGAUAUUUAAUUUUCAAGAACUUAACUAAUACUAAUCCGGUUUAAUAAUAACAACAAUUUUAAUAACAGGGUAUCUAAUCCUGGUUUAUAAAUAAAAUUUUCCUAGAUCAUUUAAUUAAUAAAUUUAAUUUUAAUAUUAAAAUUUCACCUCUCAAUAUAACUUUUUAAAUAUAAAAUUAAUUAACUAUUUAACCAUAAAAAUUAAGUAACUCUUUUUGUAUAACCGCA
This 505-nucleotide ribosomal RNA is filed under the name Cryptocephalus cordiger. RNAcentral describes it as "partial 12S ribosomal RNA". Lineage: Eukaryota; Metazoa; Arthropoda; Insecta; Coleoptera; Chrysomelidae. The record is from RNAcentral.